UACGGAGGAUGCGAGCGUUAUCCGGAUUUAUUGGGUUUAAAGGGUGCGCAGGCGGCACGGCAAGCCGGCGGUCAAAUCGCGGGGCUCAACCCCGCCCAGCCGUCGGAACUGCCGGGCUAGAGUGGGCGAGAAGUGCGCGGAAUGCGUGGUGUAGCGGUGAAAUGCAUAGAUAUCACGCAGAACUCCGAUUGCGAAGGCAGCGCACCGGCGCCCGACUGACGCUCAGGCACGAAAGCGUGG
Molecule: ribosomal RNA, 240 nt
Filed under: uncultured bacterium
Lineage: Bacteria
Description: partial 16S ribosomal RNA
Rfam family: Bacterial small subunit ribosomal RNA
Source: RNAcentral